GACCGCGAACGCUCAAGGUUGCCGCACGCAGGUUUUUCCUGAAAUACUAGGCUUUAGAAUUUCACCAUAUGAAUUUUGGGAGAGAGGAGCACAGUUCAGCCCAUAACUAACACACGACGGAAUGAAGUUGAUAAUAGUGAGACCUUGUUGGUACAAGACUAUGUAACAUAACCUGCGCUUCUCAACAAAGAAUUGCUUUUCUGACUUCUGCACUCAAUAGCAAGACAAAUCUCUCCUCUGCCUUCUCCUUAUCAGACUACUCAACAUGAAGGCAAUAAGAAUGAAGACCUCUAUGUAUAAUAAUUGACUUCCACUUAAUAAAUACCUGAACAGAUGUUGAGUACAAGCUGAUCCACCUACGUUCAACCUGAGAGAGUCCACAUCCACAGACUGUUUCAUUUCCCUUUUUCAAUUUACAUAGAAGCAUAGAUUCUUGCUGGCAUAUACAAAUGCGCCAUUUAAGGCAAUCAAAAAUGGUUCCACAUCUCAUCUGAUUUCCACAAUUGUUGCUGUAACGAUGGACUACUGAGGAGAGAGACAAUUUCUCUGGCACAUCUUCCCACAUUUUAGCAACAUGUUCAUGGAGAGCCAAUAUUCAGUAAUUACAGCCCAAUUCCUCACAAUUUCACAAUUCGCUAACAAUAUGCAUUUUCACAAUGUAAAGCUGAUUUUCCUUUAACCAAAUCAAACAUGAAAAGAUAGCUGCAUGCAAUGGGCAAUCUAGAUCAUUAGAAGAUUGAUGUAAAAUUAGAGGACACUGAGACUGGAAUAGAUUGCAAACUUCAGGGAGCUCAGAAAACUUGUAAACUCUACAUUUUGAGGAAAUAUGUUGUCGAUGCUUUUGCAACUCUAUGCAGUAACUUAACAAAUAAAGCCUUAAAGUAA
RNAcentral lists this long non-coding RNA (885 nucleotides) under Homo sapiens (human). Its description in RNAcentral is "MIR663A host gene". The record is from RNAcentral. Lineage: Eukaryota; Metazoa; Chordata; Mammalia; Primates; Hominidae.